RNAcentral lists this ribosomal RNA (446 nucleotides) under uncultured bacterium. RNAcentral describes it as "partial 16S ribosomal RNA". It matches the Rfam family "Bacterial small subunit ribosomal RNA", at positions 338 to 795 of the family's 1533-position model. The record is from RNAcentral.
CCUACGGGAGGCAGCAGUCGAGAAUCAUUCACAAUGGGGGAAACCCUGAUGGUGCGACGCCGCGUGGGGGAAUGAAGGUCUUCGGAUUGUAAACCCCUGUCAUGUGGGAGCAAAUUAAAAAGAUAGUACCACAAGAGGAAGAGACUGCUAACUCUGUGCCAGCAGCCGCGGUAAUACAGAGGUCUCAAGCGUUGUUCGGAAUCACUGGGGGUAAAGCGUGCGUAGGCUGUUUCGUAAGUCGUGUGUGAAAGGCGCGGGCUCAACCCGCGGACGGCACAUGAUACUGCGAGACUAGAGUGAUGGAGGGGGAAGCGGAAUUCUCGGUGUAGCAGUGAAAUGCGUAGAUAUCGAGAGGAACACUCGUGGCGAAGGCGGGUUCCUGGACAUUAACUGACGCUGAGGCACGAAGGCCAGGGGAGCGAAAGGGAUUAGAUACCCGAGUAGUC